GAUGAACGCUGGCGGCGUGCCUAACACAUGCAAGUCGAGCGAUUUACUUCGGUAAAGAGCGGCGGACGGGUGAGUAACGCGUGGGUAACCUGCCCUGUACACACGGAUAACAUACCGAAAGGUAUGCUAAUACGACAUAAUAUGCUUUUAUCGCAUGGUAGAAGUAUCAAAGCUUUUGCGGUACAGGAUGGACCCGCGUCUGAUUAGCUAGUUGGUAAGGUAACGGCUUACCAAGGCGACGAUCAGUAGCCGACCUGAGAGGGUGAUCGGCCACAUUGGAACUGAGACACGGUCCAAACUCCUACGGGAGGCAGCAGUGGGGAAUAUUGCACAAUGGGCGAAAGCCUGAUGCAGCAACGCCGCGUGAGUGAUGAAGGCCUUCGGGUCGUAAAGCUCUGUCCUCAAGGAAGAUAAUGACGGUACUUGAGGAGGAAGACCCGGCUAACUACGUGCCAGCCGCCGCCGUAA
Molecule: ribosomal RNA, 468 nt
Filed under: uncultured bacterium
Lineage: Bacteria
Description: partial 16S ribosomal RNA
Rfam family: Bacterial small subunit ribosomal RNA
Source: RNAcentral